CGUUGGUGGUUCUUUGUGUCUGGGGGUGGGCGUCCAGGUACACACCGGCUCACUCCUUGGCGGCCGCUUAUCGGGGCCUGGAGCCUAGGGCUCGCUUGGGCCCCUUCGGAGGUGGGGUGCCCCCGGCCUGGGGCUCGGUCACUCAGGCACAGCUGGGGGCCGGCGGAGCUCAUGGGCGCGUCACUGCAACUCCCCCUGACUUCUGCUCCGCGGCUGCUGAGUGAGCCCUCAUCUGGGACUCUCCUCAGCUCUUACUGGAACAGUGGCGCGGCUGCCCCUCUGUUGGUCUUCCUUGGUCUCUUGUGUUCUGGGGGCCUCUGGAUGUCUGGAGUUUUGAUCUCCUCCAUACCUGCUUCACACCCUGGAGGACGGGGCAGUGGCCCCCCCACACACUCCCUAGCAGAUCAUUACAUGGAGAAACCUUUGGAAUGCAAGCGCGCUGAUCCACACAGGUAUGCACACGGGUGUUCACUGCUCGUAGACCCAAAUUACACCUUUCUUGGCUGCUACUUCGAAGCACAUCUGUCCUGCGUGCUGCACAACAACAUUGAAUAUUUAGUAUUUACUGCUGUUUACACUUAGCUAGAUUAAUGCGAUGGUGUUGUGUUUAGUAUGUUGCUUUGUUUUUUUUCUGCUUGUUUUCUAUUCUUCUCUCAACAGGUGAUCCAGGAGAUUUUUAUUUUUUUUCUCCCCCCCUUUCUCACUGUCCCUCUCCCCUUCUGUUUUUCCUUUCCUUCCUCUUUCUUUCUCCCUUUCCUAUCCCUCACUCAUGUCUGUCCCGUCUGUAACAUCUGAAAAUAAAAUAUAAUAAAUAAUAAAAACAAAGAUCGACCAAAUGGACCAAUACGGCAAUGCCACGAUGAUCCAUUUGGCAAAGUAAAUCCAUUGGGUAUCCUUGUUGGUCUUCAGACAACAAUUCUGAUGGCUAAAGAACCAAAUGGGACAGGCAAAAAAAAAAAAAAAAAAAAAAAAAGAAUCGAUUAAGCUAGGUGGCUAAUAUGUAUAGCCAUGUAAAUGUGUUAAUAAUGUCGGUUUAAAUGCUUUCCCAUGAUUAUUUUCAUGUUGGCUGGAAAUAAAAUACUUUUAUAUAAAAUAAAAUACCCCUUGUUAUUAGUGCAGAUUACUGCAACUUCUGCAUGACAGGCGUGUCUGUUACACGCUUUGUUGUGAUAUCGGGUGUAGGCAGUGAUUAAGAUGCUAGUUGUGUUCAAUACAUUCCAAUUUUAUUUAUAUAGUGCCAAAUCACAACAAUAGUUGCCUCAAGGUGCUUUUUAUUUUAAAGUAAAGACCCUGCAACCCCGCUGUGAGCAAGCAUUUGGCGACAGUGAGAGGGAAGAACUCCCUUUUAACAGGAAGAGCCAGAGAUGAAUAAAAACAAAUGAUUUCAUGCAAAUGUAUUUGUGUGGUCACACUUUGUCCAGUCUGCAAACUAGACAGAAAACAGAACAAACGUAUCAAUAUUGAAGAAGAAAAAAAAAAAAAAGAAAAAAAAAUGAAACGAUGGUGACCAUGCACGUUUUAUCUUUGCUUUUAACUUAAUAUGCUUUUAGCCAUAGAACCAACAACCCUUGAACCUGUACGUGUAAAAGGAAACAUUCUUGUAAACCACAGAAAACAUCAGAGGAAGUGGUUUGAUACUGAAGGGUGGUGGCUAAUUUUGUGUGUUUGAGAUGAAUUACUACCUGCAAAGAGAUUUUGAACUCUAAUGAGACUACCUAUUGUAAUGAGAUAUAUAAAUAAAGUAUAUACGUACUGUGUAGUAUAAACCACAGGAAUAGUGAACUGACUAAAGGGAUAAAUUUCGUAACAUAAAAAAGGGCAGAUUUUUAGAGUAGAAUACAAAAGAGUAGAAUAUGAGUAGAGUAUAAAUUAUCUCAAAAAAGAAGUAUUAAAAAAAC
This is a long non-coding RNA of Astatotilapia calliptera (eastern happy), 1898 nucleotides long. The record is from Ensembl. Lineage: Eukaryota; Metazoa; Chordata; Actinopteri; Cichliformes; Cichlidae.